RNAcentral lists this ribosomal RNA (497 nucleotides) under uncultured bacterium. Its description in RNAcentral is "partial 16S ribosomal RNA". It matches the Rfam family "Bacterial small subunit ribosomal RNA", at positions 28 to 507 of the family's 1533-position model. The record is from RNAcentral.
GAUGAACGCUGGCGGCGUGCCUAAUACAUGCCAGUCGAGCGAACAGACGAGGAGCUUGCUCCUCUGACGUUAGCGGCGGACGGGUGAGUAACACGUGGAUAACCUACCUAUAAGACUGGGAUAACUUCGGGAAACCGGAGCUAAUACCGGAUAAUAUAUUGUACCGCAUGGUUCAAUAGUGAAAGACGGUUUUGCUGUCACUUAUAGAUGGAUCCGCGCCGCAUUAGCUAGUUGGUAAGGUAACGGCUUACCAAGGCGACGAUGCGUAGCCGACCUGAGAGGGUGAUCGGCCACACUGGAACUGAGACACGGUCCAGACUCCUACGGGAGGCAGCAGUAGGGAAUCUUCCGCAAUGGGCGAAAGCCUGACGGAGCAACGCCGCGUGAGUGAUGAAGGUCUUCGGAUCGUAAAACUCUGUUAUUAGGGAAGAACAAAUGUGUAAGUAACUAUGCACGUCUUGACGGUACCUAAUCAGAAAGCCACGGCUAACUACGUG